Molecule: ribosomal RNA, 253 nt
Filed under: uncultured bacterium
Lineage: Bacteria
Description: partial 16S ribosomal RNA
Rfam family: Bacterial small subunit ribosomal RNA
Source: RNAcentral
UACGGAGGGUGCAAGCGUUAUCCGGAUUCACUGGGUUUAAAGGGUGCGUAGGUGGAUCUGUAAGUCAGUGGUGAAAUCUUCGAGCUUAACUCGGAAACUGCCAUUGAUACUAUAGAUCUUGAAUUUUCUGGAGGUAAGCGGAAUAUGUCAUGUAGCGGUGAAAUGCUUAGAUAUGACAUAGAACACCCAUUGCGAAGGCAGCUUACUACGGAUUGAUUGACACUGAGGCACGAAAGCGUGGGGAUCAAACAGG